This 406-nucleotide ribosomal RNA is filed under the name uncultured bacterium. Its description in RNAcentral is "bacterial SSU rRNA". It matches the Rfam family "Archaeal small subunit ribosomal RNA", at positions 339 to 747 of the family's 1478-position model. The record is from RNAcentral.
GCGCGAAACCUUCGCAAUGCGCGCAAGCGCGACGAGGUUAUUCCGAGUGAUUUCCGCUGAGGAAAUCUUUUCUCAGAUCUAAAAAGUCUGGGGAAUAAGGGGAGGGCAAGUCUGGUGUCAGCCGCCGCGGUAAUACCAGCUCCUCGAGUGGUCAGGGCGUUUAUUGGGCCUAAAGCAUCCGUAGCCUGCUCGGUAGGUCUCCUGUUAAAUCCAACGGCUCAACCGUUGGUCUGCAGGAGAUACCGCUGGGCUAGGAGGCGGGAGAGGCGGACGGUACUCCGAGGGUAGGGGUAAAAUCCUUUGAUCCCCGGAAGACCACCAGUGGCGAAGGCGGUCCGCCAGAACGCGCUCGACGGUGAGGGAUGAAAGCUGGGGGAGCGAACCGGAUUAGAUACCCGUGUAGUCC